GACUGUACAAAGGUAGCAUAAUCAUUUGUCUUUUAAUUGAAGGCUGGUAUGAAUGGUUGGAUGAAAAAUAUACUUUCUUUUUUUUAUAUAAAAAAAUUAAUUUUUUAGUUAAAAAGCUAAAAUAAUAUUAUAGGACGAGAAGACCCUAUAGAACUUUAUUUUCUUUUUUAUAUAAAUUUUAUUGAUUUUUAUAAAUUUAUAUAUUAAUGUAAAUUUUGUUGGGGUGACAGAAAAAAUUAUAUAACUUUUUCUAUUUUAGACAUUUAUAUAUGUUUUAUUGAUCUUUUAAUAAAAAAUUAGGAUUAAGUUACCUUAGGGAUAACAGCGUUAUUUUCUUUGAGAGUUCAUAUCGAUAUGAAAGUUUGCGACCUCGAUGUUGGAUUAAAAUAAGUGGCAGGGGUAGAAUAUUGUUUCACUAGGUCUGUUCGACCUUUAAAUUUUUACA
RNAcentral lists this ribosomal RNA (445 nucleotides) under Pachylygus nigrescens. Its description in RNAcentral is "partial large subunit ribosomal RNA". The stretch from base 318 to 445 matches the Rfam family "Bacterial large subunit ribosomal RNA", at positions 2473 to 2600 of the family's 2925-position model. The record is from RNAcentral. Lineage: Eukaryota; Metazoa; Arthropoda; Insecta; Hemiptera; Miridae.